GACGAGCCUGACAAACGUUAUUCGGAAUUACUGGGCUUAAAGGGUGCGUAGGCGGUGUGGUAAGUCAGGCGUGAAAUACCUCAGCUUAACUGAGGAACUGCGUCCGAUACUACCAUGCUAGAGUGAGACAGAGGUGAGUGGAACUGAGGGUGGAGCGGUGAAAUGCGUUGAUAUCCUCAGGAACACCGGUGGCGAAGGCGACUCACUGGGUCUCAACUGACGCUGAUGCACGAAAGCUAGGGUAGCAAACGGG
RNAcentral lists this ribosomal RNA (253 nucleotides) under uncultured bacterium. Its description in RNAcentral is "partial 16S ribosomal RNA". It matches the Rfam family "Bacterial small subunit ribosomal RNA", at positions 524 to 776 of the family's 1533-position model. The record is from RNAcentral. RNAcentral also lists the same sequence under 1 other name.